CAACCCAUACAGUGAUGUAUGGUUGAACCUUGAGAAGUCAGCAGAGGUCAUAGUACUUAUCUAGUCAUGAAUAGAUAAGGAAGGGC
This is a non-coding RNA of Thermoanaerobacter pseudethanolicus ATCC 33223, 86 nucleotides long. The record is from Rfam. Lineage: Bacteria; Bacillati; Bacillota; Clostridia; Thermoanaerobacterales; Thermoanaerobacteraceae.